Molecule: ribosomal RNA, 447 nt
Filed under: uncultured bacterium
Lineage: Bacteria
Description: bacterial SSU rRNA
Rfam family: Bacterial small subunit ribosomal RNA
Source: RNAcentral
GGCGAACGGGUGCUUAACACGAUGGGCUAAUCGUGCCGAGAAGUGGGGGAUAGCUCGCCGUAACAGGCGAAUUAAUACCUACUAUGUGAUCAGAGUGGACAUCCAUUCCAAAUCAAAGUCGGGGCAACCUGAGCGCUUCUUGUAGGAGCCCGCGGCUAUCAGCUAGUUUGUCGAGGUAACGGCUCACCAAGGCUUUGACGGGUAGCUGGUCUGAGAGGACGACCAGCCACGAGUGGGACUGAGACACGGUCAAGACCAAACGGGUGGCAGCAGUCGAGAAUCUCUCAAUGGGGGUAACCCUGAAGGAGCGACGCCGCGUGGAGGAUGAACGGUCUUCGGGUAUGUAAACUCCUGUCAUUGGGGAACAAUGCGCAAAUAUUAACUGUAUUUGCGUUGAUCAAGUACCAGAAGAGGAAGGGACGGCUAACUCUGUGCCAGCGCACGCGG